Long non-coding RNA from Apus apus (common swift), 848 nucleotides. RefSeq lists it as uncharacterized. The transcript has 2 exons. The record is from RefSeq and is a predicted model, not a curated record. Lineage: Eukaryota; Metazoa; Chordata; Aves; Apodiformes; Apodidae.
CUUGUUCAGAAGGGCACUUUGGGGGUUUUUAGCAGUGUUUUCUGGCCCCUCCCCAGCUCGGGUGCUUCUGGGUCUCGUUUCAGCUUCAAAAACUCUUUAUUGCUCCUGUUUGCAGAAGAGAGAGUGAAGGGAACAGGGUGAUCAGGCCUUUUCCUCCUUCUCACGUGUCUUGGUGGAAUGAAGAGGGAGCUGCUUGGGAAGGAGCUGGAGUCACACGGUCCUGAUAGAGCAGGAGUGGGAGAGAAAAUAAACAUAAAUUAUCCUGGAAUCAUGGAAUGGUUUGGGUUGGAAGGGACCUCAAAGAUCAUCUAGUUCCACCUGCACAGGCAGGGACACCUCCCACCAGCCCAGGCUGCUCCAGGCCCCAUCCAACCUGCCCUUCAACCCUGCCAGGGCUGGGGCAGCCACAGCUUCCCUGGGCAGCCUGUUCCAGGGUCUCUAAAUUCCUGCACUUCACCCAUUUUCAUUUGGCUUCCGUAGGAAACGAGGCAGAAAUUUUUCCCCUUCUCCAACCCCCCCCCCCCCCCAGCCCUCCCCUGAUCCUUUCAGAUCCAUUUUCACAGCAAGAUGUAGAUGGAGUGAAGGAUCUCACAGCAAGAACCUCCAAGUUCUGGGUGAAAGCAGCUGGUGAGAGAAGAGAGGAGCAGCAGGUGACUUGGUCUCUCUCUGCCUUCCUUUGCCAAGCUCAGGAUGGGUUUGUCAUUCCCUCCAGGACCCUCCCCUGCACCUUUUGCAUCCUGGUUUCUUCUCUUUCUCCCCAGAACCUUCCACAGCAGCACACAGGAAAGGCACCACCUCCUUUUCUCAUUAAAAAGGAGGGAAGGAUUCACUGCCCUCCCUUCUCCAGA